UUCGCAAUGCCCGAAAGGGUGACGAAGCGACGCCGCGUGGGUGAAGAAGGCCUUCGGGUUGUAAAGCCCUGUCAGGAGUUAUGAAAUGUAAGUGCGCUAAUAUCGUGCUUAUUUGACAAAGGCUCCAAAGGAAGCCACGGCUAACUCUGUGCCAGCAGCCGCGGUAAUACAGAGGUGGCGAGCGUUGUUCGGAAUUAUUGGGCGUAAAGAGCACGUAGGUGGGUUUGUAAGUCAGAUGUGAAAGCCUUCUGUUCAACGGAAGAAUUGCAUCUGAAACUGCGAAUCUUGAGUAUAGGAGGGGGGAGUGGAACUUCUGGUGGAGCGGUGAAAUGCGUAGAUAUCAGAAGGAACGCCGGCGGCGAAAGCGAUUCUCUGGCCUAUUACUGACACUCAGUGUGCGAAAGCUAGGGGAGCAAACGGGAUUAGAUACCCCGGUAGUCCUAGCCGUAAACGAUGGGCACUAAGUAGAGGGGUUUU
Molecule: ribosomal RNA, 477 nt
Filed under: uncultured Candidatus Scalindua sp.
Lineage: Bacteria; Pseudomonadati; Planctomycetota; Candidatus Brocadiia; Candidatus Brocadiales; Candidatus Scalinduaceae
Description: bacterial SSU rRNA
Rfam family: Bacterial small subunit ribosomal RNA
Source: RNAcentral